UACGGAGGAUGCAAGCGUUAUCCGGAAUGAUUGGGCGUAAAGCGUCCGCAGGUGGCUGUGUAAGUCUGCUGUUAAAGAGUGAGGCUCAACCUCAUAAAGGCAGUGGAAACUACAUGGCUAGAGUGCGUUCGGGGCAGAGGGAAUUCCUGGUGUAGCGGUGAAAUGCGUAGAGAUCCGGAAGAACACCGGUGGCGAAGGCGGCCCGCUGGGCAGUGGCUGACGCUGAGGCGCGACAGCGUGGGGAGCAAACAGG
Molecule: ribosomal RNA, 253 nt
Filed under: uncultured bacterium
Lineage: Bacteria
Description: partial 16S ribosomal RNA
Rfam family: Bacterial small subunit ribosomal RNA
Source: RNAcentral